UACGUAGGGUGCGAGCGUUAAUCGGAAUUACUGGGCGUAAAGUGUGCGCAGGUGGCUUCGCAAGUCGAGUGUGAAAUCCCCGGGCUUAACCUGGGAAUUGCGCUCGAAGCUACGGAGCUGGAGUAUGGCAGAGGGAGGUGGAAUUCCACGUGUAGCGGUGAAAUGCGUAGAGAUGUGGAGGAACACCAAUGGCGAAGGCAGCCUCCUGGGCCAAUACUGACACUCAUGCACGAAAGCGUGGGGAGCAAACAGG
RNAcentral lists this ribosomal RNA (253 nucleotides) under uncultured bacterium. Its description in RNAcentral is "partial 16S ribosomal RNA". It matches the Rfam family "Bacterial small subunit ribosomal RNA", at positions 524 to 776 of the family's 1533-position model. The record is from RNAcentral.